This 492-nucleotide ribosomal RNA is filed under the name uncultured bacterium. Its description in RNAcentral is "partial 16S ribosomal RNA". It matches the Rfam family "Bacterial small subunit ribosomal RNA", at positions 29 to 507 of the family's 1533-position model. The record is from RNAcentral.
AGUGAACGCUGGCGGUAGGCCUAACACAUGCAAGUCGAACGGCAGCACAGUAAGAGCUUGCUCUUACGGGUGGCGAGUGGCGGACGGGUGAGGAAUACAUCGGAAUCUACUUUUUCGUGGGGGAUAACGUAGGGAAACUUACGCUAAUACCGCAUACGACCUACGGGUGAAAGCAGUGGAUCUUCGGACCUUGCGCGAUUGAAUGAGCCGAUGUCGGAUUAGCUAGUUGGCGGGGUAAAGGCCCACCAAGGCGACGAUCCGUAGCUGGUCUGAGAGGAUGAUCGGCCACACUGGAACUGAGACACGGUCCAGACUCCUACGGGAGGCAGCAGUGGGGAAUAUUGGACAAUGGGCGCAAGCCUGACCCAGCCACACCGCGUGGGUGAAGAAGGCCUUCGGGUUGUAAAGCCCUUUUGUUGGGAAAGAAAAGCAGCAGGUUAAUACCCCGCUGUUCUGACGGUACCCAAAGAAUAAGCACCGGCUAACUUCGUG